This 161-nucleotide small RNA is filed under the name Floricoccus tropicus. RNAcentral describes it as "MarS sRNA". It matches the Rfam family "MarS sRNA". From Rfam's summary of the family: In MarS deletion strains expression of mga and several Mga-activated genes is reduced. Lineage: Bacteria; Bacillati; Bacillota; Bacilli; Lactobacillales; Streptococcaceae. The record is from Rfam by way of RNAcentral.
AUGCGAUGAGUCGAUUCGUGAUUAUUAUAAUCACGUCGAAGCAGUGGAUAUCUAGGGCAUAGCCCGUCAAGGAUUGAUGAGAUAUUGGUAAGUUGUGUGAACCUUCUUACCACGGAUGAAAGUUUGCCACAUAAGACCUAAUCUUUUGGUUAGGUCUUUUU